GUAGGUGAACCUGCGGAAGGAUCAUUAUUGAAUAAACUUGAUCAGGUUGUUGCUGGCUCCCCUGAGCAUGUGCACACUUGUCAUCUUUACUUUUCCCCCAAUGUGCACAUAUUGUAGGCCUGGAACUCUUUUGAUUAUCUCGUAUAGAUUGAGGACUGCUGUGCUUCAGCCAGCUUUUCCUUGUGUUUUCAGGUCUAUGUUUACCUUCACAACCUCUGAAUAUGUUUAGAAUGUUGGAAUAUAAUAUAUAUAUACAACUUUCAGCAACGGAUCUCUUGGCUCUC
This 284-nucleotide unclassified non-coding RNA is filed under the name rhizosphere metagenome. RNAcentral describes it as "partial ribosomal RNA internal transcribed spacer region". The record is from RNAcentral.